GACGAACGCUGGCGGCGUGCUUAACACAUGCAAGUCGAACGGAAAGGCCCUGCUUUUGUGGGGUGCUCGAGUGGCGAACGGGUGAGUAACACGUGAGUAACCUGCCCUUGACUUUGGGAUAACUUCAGGAAACUGGGGCUAAUACCGGAUAGGUGCUCCUGCUGCAUGGUGGGGGUUGGAAAGUUUCGGCGGUUGGGGAUGGACUCGCGGCUUAUCAGCUUGUUGGUGGGGUAGUGGCUUACCAAGGCAUUGACGGGUAGCCGGCCUGAGAGGGUGACCGGCCACAUGGGGACUGAGAUACGGCCCAGACUCCUACGGGAGGCAGCAGUGGGGAGUAUUGCACAAUGGGCGGAAGCCUGAUGCAGCAACGCCGCGUGCGGGAUGACGGCCCUCGGGUUGUAAACCGCUUUCGCCUGUGACGAAGCGUGAUUGACGGUAAUGGGUAAAGAAGCACCGGCUAACUACGUG
This 468-nucleotide ribosomal RNA is filed under the name uncultured bacterium. RNAcentral's name for it is "partial 16S ribosomal RNA". It matches the Rfam family "Bacterial small subunit ribosomal RNA", at positions 28 to 507 of the family's 1533-position model. The record is from RNAcentral.